AUGGUAGACUGUGAAGCGUACG
This 22-nucleotide microRNA is filed under the name Microcebus murinus (gray mouse lemur). RNAcentral's name for it is "mmr-miR-411b". Its record names the gene mmr-miR-411b. The record is from miRBase by way of RNAcentral. Lineage: Eukaryota; Metazoa; Chordata; Mammalia; Primates; Cheirogaleidae.